Molecule: long non-coding RNA, 923 nt
Organism: Megalobrama amblycephala (Wuchang bream)
Lineage: Eukaryota; Metazoa; Chordata; Actinopteri; Cypriniformes; Xenocyprididae
Exons: 4
Source: RefSeq, a predicted model, not a curated record
UGGCAGGUGUAUGAUGUAUAUUAUGAUGUUAUGGAGAACUAUAUGCCUUUCUCCACUGAGUUGUUCAAAGCGUUUCUAAGGUUACUGAUUGUUAGAAGGCAGCUGUCUCGUGAACUCGUGAAUGUGAACAUUGGUUUGUGUAACAUUAGCAACACAUUAUUAGCUGUUUGGUAACGCAGUCAAGCAAAACGCUAAUCAUAUUAAUUACCGUUAUGUGUCCAACGUUGUAAAAACCAAUACCAUUGUGCAGCAUUUACCUCAGUAAGUUGAACGACUGGAUCUCGUCUGAGCUAGUGCAAUUGCAACAGGUGGUACCGGUGCCAAGUGACAAAUCCUGGUCCUUCGUGAGAGAAAUCCACACCUCCGAAGCUCUGCUGCCCUGGACCCAUGCCCCAAAAUCUCCUGAUAGCGACGGGUGCAGAUAACAAGGUCAGGAUGGACGGUUCUUUUAGCCUGGUCCAGAGCGUUCACAAAGGCUCUUUUCUCAUCUGUAGACAUCUGCAUGACGUUACGUCGCACUGGGAACACAAACAGACUCAGUUUGGCCCUGUCAGACCAUGUCGGCAUCGCCCACAGUUAAAUCCACUGAAGUUGCCGUUGCAUUGGCAGGUUCUGUUAAAGAACCGCAGUGGCCAUCGUUCUCUAUCAUCCCGCCCAUCGUGAGGAUACUGAGGCCCGUGUGGGCGGCGGUCAGCGGUAAUUGACACGCAUUGACCUCUGCCAGUACUGGAUCCACACUCAUCAUUGGGCAGUCCAGUAGGUGAUGGGCAGCAGGUGCCACUCUGCAGACCUUCUGGUGUCACACACUGACGUGGGAACUGAGCGUGCGUCAGCACAACGCACAUUAGCACUAAACACACACUCUUCCACAUCCUGGAAAGAUGGACCCGCAUGCAUUAAAAUAUGCUUAGUUCACCCAAAAA